UUAACUGAAACCAAAAUAGAGGUAUAUUACUGUUAAUAAUAUAAUUGAAUAAUAUUUUCCAGUUAAG
This 67-nucleotide transfer RNA is filed under the name Anisolampra panfilovi. RNAcentral describes it as "tRNA-Asn". The record is from RNAcentral. Lineage: Eukaryota; Metazoa; Arthropoda; Insecta; Blattodea; Blaberidae.